Molecule: ribosomal RNA, 253 nt
Filed under: uncultured bacterium
Lineage: Bacteria
Description: partial 16S ribosomal RNA
Rfam family: Archaeal small subunit ribosomal RNA
Source: RNAcentral
UACCAGCUCCCCGAGUGGUCGGGACGAUUAUUGGGCCUAAAGCAUCCGUAGCCGGUUCUACAAGUCUUCCGUUAAAUCCACCUGCUUAACAGAUGGGCUGCGGAGGAUACUAUAGAGCUAGGAGGCGGGAGAGGCAAGCGGUACUUAGUGGGUAGGGGUAAAAUCCGUUGAUCCAUUGAAGACCACCAGUGGCGAAGGCGGCUUGCCAGAACGCACUCGACGGUGAGGGAUGAAAGCUGGGGGAGCAAACCGG